UGUGUCCUCGGCGCCUGCAGAGCUCUUGUGACGUCCCCUGGCCCCUGUGUGGUCCGUGCCAUCUGCCCACACAUCCCGUGGUCCCGUCCACCUGAGUGGGCGUUUUCCGGGAUUUCCCUUCGACAGUCUAAGACCUAAGAGCCCCAGGGCCUAAUAAUCCUACAAAAACGCAUCCCAGCGUUAGUCAUUCGGCUCAGUUUCCCUGAGUGUACGUGACGUGUCCUUUCAGCACGCGAGUCCCAGACUUUGCGGGCCAGGUGGGUUGACGUGGGCUUUAGUGUUCCGUCUGCUCUGCUCGGGUGCUGGGGGGUUUCCCCGGGACGUCCGCUUCUACGCUGUUGGUUCCUCCGCUUUCUCUCCUUCCCUUGCACCGCGAUCGACACGUAACUUACACGUCACGCCCUUCGCCCAUCUCACGCGUGCCAUUCAACGGUUUUCAGCGUCUUUACAAAGUCGGGCAGCCAAACCACGAACCUGCUCUACUCUCAGGACGUUUCCUCGCCCCGAAGGGACACCUCACCCCUGUUAGCCGUCCCAGCCCUCACCCCCAGCGACGCCGCAGCUCCGCCCUCCGUGCGGCCGCCCCGCUGCGCCUGAGCAGAUGCCCCGCGCGCCCACCUGCCCCCACCCGUCGAGGCGCGUCUGGGCGCUUGUUGGCCGUGGCGCAGCUGCUCCUGGAGACACCCCAGCGCCCCGCUUUGCCCCUUUCCUCGAUUUUCCGCUUUCUCUCCAAUCCUUUUCAUGCGUUUUUACUUCCUUCUAUGCUUCUCCGAAUGCUUUUGUGUGCCUCCACUUUUGUGGCCCCUCGGCUCUAAUCUUCAUUUCCAAACUAAUGUUCAGUUGAUUUCCAAUUCUGAUUUGCGGUAUUUUUCACAUAUCGUAUGAUUCCCGCGGUCUUCGAGCUCGUUUUGAAGUGUUGCGUCGUGUAUCCGUGUGGUAGCCAACCGCCCAGAGGGCCUGUGCGUCCUCGGCGCCCAGAAUUCCUGCCCCUGUGGGCUGUGGGCUGCCACCUGCUUCAAAUUAGGGUCGAUGUCGCACACGGCGCGCGUGAAGGACGUCGCCCGUGCUGGUUUCUGAGACUAGGUCAUCCGUGGGAUGGCGGCCGCCCCCUUGGUUUCUCGGAGCACUUGUGGGGGCGGGGGGGGGGGGGGGGGCAGCCGUCAUGUGGUGAGGAAGCUCCAGCAGCUCACAUGGAAAGGCCCGCAGAGAGUCACAGAGAGGCCUGCUUGGAGACCCACAUGGAGGGGAGCACUCAGAGGGGAGCUCACAGAGGGGCCCCCGCGGAGGGGCCCACGCGGAGGGGAGCACAUGGGGGGGAGCACCGGAGGGGAGCACACGGAGGGGAGCACUCAGAGGGGAGCUCACAGAGGGGCCCCCGCGGAGGGGCCCACGCAGAGGGGAGCACAUGGGGGGGAGCACCGGAGGGGAGCACACGGAGGGGAGCACUCAGAGGGGAGCACACGGAGGGGCCCACGUGGAGGGGCCCACGCGGAGGGGAGCACAUGGGGGGGAGCACGGAGGGGAGCACUCAGAGGGGCCUACAUGGAGGGGCGCACAGGGUACCGCAUGGGUUUUGUGGGCCUCUCUGCCCGUGGGCCCCCCGUCUCCUGCAGGGACACUAACCCUCUCUCUCCUCCUCGUCCUCUGUUUUCCUUCGAGCGUCUGUGCAGGUUCUGACCAUGAGUCACUCCGCGGCUCAGGCUCCUGUGAAGUCCGUUUCUGGUGCUGCUCCUCCCACACCUGCCCCAGGACUCCUUUAUCUACUCGCGUGGAUCUAACCCGUUGGCUGUAUUUGAUUUGAGGUCUUCAGGCUUAUCUACAUCACAUUCUCGGGUACAUCUGUCCCCGUGACGGUGCCCCACAUGCUGAGCAGGGGACGCGCACCGGCGCCUCUGGCCACUGUGGCCCGAGAAUGUGCAUUCUGGCUCUGGUUCUGUGUCGUGAGCUGCCCGGCCUAGUCGCGUAUCCCCAGAGCCUGAGGGGGACGGGGGACGCCUCCCGGGAGACCAAAUGUAUGUUUGCUCUGCAUCGUGCUUCUGGCUCCCUAACCCCCUGGGGUUUUCCAAGUGAGAAGAGCCAAUAAGGUGUCUUUUGUAUCAUAAUGGGGAGACGCUGGAAAGCCCCUAGGAUGGCACUGGUGGCCAGGGACCCAAGCCUGUGAUCUGAGAGCAGGAACCACCUGGCCUCUGGGAGGGGAGAGGGCCUGGGGGUUGAAUGGAUCACCAAUGGCCAAUGACUUGAUCAAGCCUCCGUAAAAAGCCAAAGAAGGAUGGGGUUGGGGUCAGAGAGCUUCCGGCGGUUGAACUCUUGGAGACUGGGGACAGCCGGGUGCUCAAGGGCUCGAGGGAGCUCCACCCCUCCCCUCCCCUCCCCCUGCCCGGCUCUGCAGCUCUUGGGCUGUUCUGAGUUCUAGCCUUGACGAUGACCAGCUGAUCGACUAAGUAAAGUGUUCCCUGUGAGCUGCCCUAGCCAACCAGGUGGGCCCACGGAGGGAGUCACUGGAACCUCCGAUCUAUAGCCAGCUGCUCAGAGGCACAGGUGACAACCAGGAUGGCCACCGGCAUCCGGAGUUGGGGGAGGGGCAGUCUUGUGGGACCCAGGGGGCUGAGGCCAGUGCCCAGGAGGACAGUGUCAGAACCGAGGAGAGUUGUAGGGCCCCCGCGGGUGGGGGUGUGGGGGAGCUGAUGUGGGAGGCAUAUUCCCCCUGCAAGUGCCCUCAGCAAGCCCCCCGCCCCGCGAGGGCUCCCUAACCACCAAUCGCCCGCCCGGGCGCCAAGGCCGAGGGCGGAGGUGGGCUCCCCAGCAGCCAUCGCCUUGUUCUCAACAGCCCUCGCCCUGGAGGGCCAGACCCCCACCUCCUCCUGGCCCUCCCCACCGCCCCGCAGCUGCCCCGUUCCAGACAACCUCAGGGCCCGGGGUUUCCCCCUGGGGUCCAUCCUUGUCCUCCUUCUGUGGUCCCCCCGGGGGGACGGGGCAAGAGCCCGCAUUAGCCAGGAACCGGGACAGGACAGAGGAGACAGGGCAUGGAGGGGCCCUGGUGGAGAAGACGCUUCCCACCCCGGGAGCUCUGCUCUUCUGCUGAGACGUCUUAGCCUCGGCAGGGUGGGCACCCGUGGCAGGUUAGAGGGGCCCCUAGGAAGCCCGCCGGUAGUGGACGAGGCCGGUCCCUCGUCUCUCAGCAGGGCCUGGGGGCCUGGGGAGGCCGGGACCACCCCCCUGCCACACACACACAGCAAACCUCCACCAGCAGCUCCGCGGGGCCCUGUGAAGCUGGGAGGGACUCUGGGGCGGCAAGGGGCAAAUACGGUCCCCCCUCAAGAAGGUCGAGUUAUUCACUAGCCUCCAUAAUAAAUAAAUGAGAGCCACAGUA
Leopardus geoffroyi (Geoffroy's cat) is the source of this 3370-nucleotide long non-coding RNA. RefSeq lists it as uncharacterized. The record is from RefSeq and is a predicted model, not a curated record. The transcript is spliced from 2 exons. NCBI's taxonomy places the organism in Eukaryota, Metazoa, Chordata, Mammalia, Carnivora, Felidae.